RNAcentral lists this ribosomal RNA (388 nucleotides) under uncultured bacterium. RNAcentral's name for it is "partial 16S ribosomal RNA". It matches the Rfam family "Bacterial small subunit ribosomal RNA", at positions 523 to 918 of the family's 1533-position model. The record is from RNAcentral.
AUACGUAGGUGGCAAGCGUUAUCCGGAAUUAUUGGGCGUAAAGAGUGAGCAGGCGGUUAAUUAAGUCUGAGGGUAAAGCGUGGGGCUCAACCCCAUAAAGCCUUGGGAACUGAUUGACUAGAGUACGGGAGAAGUGCAGGGAACUCCCUGUGUAGAGGUGAAAUGCGUAGAUAUAUGGAAGAACACCAGUGGCGAAGGCGCUUCACUAGCCCGAAACUGACGCUCAGUCACGAAAGCGUGGGUAGCAAAUAGGAUUAGAUACCCUAGUAGUCCACGCUGUAAACGAUGACAACUAAAUAUUGCCGCGAGGCAGUGUUGAAGCUAACGCAUUAAGUUGUCCGCCUGGGGAGUACGGUCGCAAGACUGAAACUUAAAGGAAUUGACGGGG